CCCUUAGAUGUCCGGGGCCGCACGCGCGCUACACUGAAGGAAUCAGCGUGGCUUUCUCCCUGACCCGAAAGGGUUGGGAAACCCGUUGAAUCUCCUUCGUGAUAGGGAUUGGGGCUUGAAAUUGUUCCCCAUGAACGAGGAAUUCCCAGUAAGCGCGAGUCAUAAGCUCGCGUUGAUUACGUCCCUGCCCUUUGUACACACCGCCCGUCGCUACUACCGAUUGAACGGUUUAGUGAGGGCCUCGGAUUGGUCUCGGCCCGCUCUUUACCGGGCGGCGCCGUUGGUCGAGAAGACGCUCGUACUUGAUCGUUUAGAGGAAGUAAAAGUCGUAACA
Molecule: ribosomal RNA, 334 nt
Filed under: uncultured eukaryote
Lineage: Eukaryota
Description: partial 18S ribosomal RNA
Rfam family: Eukaryotic small subunit ribosomal RNA
Source: RNAcentral